AUCUAACUAAUACGUGUGAUAUAAUUUCGGCGAAUAAAGGAUGUCGACGAUCUAAAUGAAAGUUUGCUCCUAUGUGUUUGCCAGGAAAAGUUCUUAUGAAUUUUGUGACUCGUAAAUGAUGAACAGUGUCAUAUCUACUUAUCGAAAUGGUUCAUUAGCCGUGGGAUUCUACGAAGGAAACACUCGAACAGGGCGUAGUGGCAAUGUACUCCUAUUCAUGUGAACCCGACCAGAUCAACAUCAAAGGUUACUGUAACGUUGAAGUCGAAGGUCGGGAUCUGGAUGAUCACUUCUACCGAUUUAUCGAUGAACUGCUGUUUUCGUUGUGCGGGGAGCCCCAUCUGUUGGUUCGGAAGGUUCAG
RNAcentral lists this long non-coding RNA (362 nucleotides) under Varroa destructor (honeybee mite). RNAcentral's name for it is "uncharacterized LOC111251586, transcript variant X3". The record is from RNAcentral. Lineage: Eukaryota; Metazoa; Arthropoda; Arachnida; Mesostigmata; Varroidae.